AACAGCUCAAAUUUGAAAUCUGGCGCAAGCCCGAGUUGUAAUUUGUAGAGGAUGCUUCUAGGCAGCGGCCGGUCUAAGUUUCUUGGAACAGGACGUCAUAGAGGGUGAGAAUCCCGUAUGUGACCGGUUGGCACCUUGCACGUAGCUCCUUCGACGAGUCGAGUUGUUUGGGAAUGCAGCUCUAAAUGGGAGGUAAAUUUCUUCUAAAGCUAAAUACCGGCCAGAGACCGAUAGCGCACAAGUAGAGUGAUCGAAAGAUGAAAAGCACUUUGGAAAGAGAGUUAAAAAGCACGUGAAAUUGUUAAAAGGGAAGCGCUUGCAACCAGACUUGUCGGCGGUGUUCCGCCGGUCUUCUGACCGGUCUAUUCGCCGCCUGCAGGCCAGCGUCGUCUGGGGCCGCCGGAUAAAGGCUUUGGGAAUGUAGCUCCUCGGAGUGUUAUAGCCCAUUGCACAAUACGGCGCGCGCCGGGCGAGGUCCGCGCUUCGGCAAGGACGCUGGCGUAAUGGUCGUAAGCGGCCCGUC
This 523-nucleotide ribosomal RNA is filed under the name Extremus adstrictus. RNAcentral's name for it is "partial large subunit ribosomal RNA". It matches the Rfam family "Eukaryotic large subunit ribosomal RNA", at positions 103 to 653 of the family's 3401-position model. Lineage: Eukaryota; Fungi; Ascomycota; Dothideomycetes; Mycosphaerellales; Extremaceae. The record is from RNAcentral.